CUAGCGACUUCAGAGUUUGAUCCUGGCUCAGGAUAAACGCUGGCGGCGUGCAUAACACAUUCAAGUCGAACGGGAAUCAGAUGAUGGAGACUUCGGUCAAAAGAGUCUGAGGAUAGUGGCGGACGGGUGAGUAACGCGUGAGCAACUUGCCUUUGUGAGGGGGAUAACACAGGGAAACUUGUGCUAAUACCGCAUGAAGCCUUUUUUAAGCAUUUAGAGAAGGUCAAAGGAGAAAUCCGCACAGAGAUAGGCUCGCGUCUGAUUAGAUAGUUGGUGAGGUAACGGCUCACCAAGUCGACGAUCAGUAGCCGGACUGAGAGGUUGAACGGCCACAUUGGAACUGAGAUACGGUCCAG
Molecule: ribosomal RNA, 356 nt
Filed under: uncultured bacterium
Lineage: Bacteria
Description: bacterial SSU rRNA
Rfam family: Bacterial small subunit ribosomal RNA
Source: RNAcentral